GCUCAGUAACACGUGGAGAACGUGCCCUUAAGUGGGGGAUAAUCUCGGGAAAUUGAGGAUAAUACCCCAUAGAUCAUGGGAUCUGGAAUGACCCAUGGUCCAAAGUUCCGGCGCUUAAGGAUCGCUCUGCGGCCUAUCAGGUAGUAGUGGGUGUAAAGUACCCCCUAGCCUACGACGGGUAUGGGCCUUGAGAGAGGGAGCCCAGAGUUGGAUUCUGAGACACGAAUCCAGGCCCUACGGGGCGCAGCAGUCGCGAAAACUUCACACUGGGGGCAACCCCGAUGAGGGAAAUCCUAGUGCUAGGACAUUUGUUCUAGCUUUUCUCAAGCGUAGAUAACUUGAGGAAUAAGGGCUGGGUAAGACGGGUGCCAGCCGCCGCGGUAAUACCUGCAGCCCAAGUGGUGGUCGAUUUUAUUGAGUCUAAAACGUUCGUAGCCGGUUUGGUAAAUCUUUGGGUAAAUCGGGAGGCUCAACUUUCCGACUUCCGAAGAGACUGUCAAACUUGGGACCGGGAGAGGCUAGAGGUACUUCUGGGGUAGGGGUAAAAUCCUGUAAUCCUAGAAGGACCACCGGUGGCGAAGGCGUCUAGCUAGAACGGAUCCGACGGUGAGGGACGAAGCCCUGGGUCGCAAACGGGAUUAGAUACCCCGGUAGUCCAGGGUGUAAACGCUGCCGACUUGGUGUUGGAGGCCCUUCGGGGGCAUUCAGUGCCGGAGAGAAGUUGUUAAGUCGGCUACUUGGGGAGUACGUCCGCAAGGAUGAAACUUAAAGGAAUUGGCGGGGGAGCAC
This 789-nucleotide ribosomal RNA is filed under the name uncultured archaeon. RNAcentral describes it as "bacterial SSU rRNA". It matches the Rfam family "Archaeal small subunit ribosomal RNA", at positions 88 to 879 of the family's 1478-position model. The record is from RNAcentral.